This 262-nucleotide unclassified non-coding RNA is filed under the name Glomus sp. Its description in RNAcentral is "partial contains 5.8S ribosomal RNA and internal transcribed spacer 2". The stretch from base 1 to 65 matches the Rfam family "5.8S ribosomal RNA", at positions 84 to 154 of the family's 154-position model. The record is from RNAcentral. Lineage: Eukaryota; Fungi; Glomeromycota; Glomeromycetes; Glomerales; Glomeraceae.
GUGAAUCAUCAAAUCUUUGAACGCAAAUUGCACUCUCUUCGGAGAGUAUGCCUGUUUGAGGUUCAGCCUAAAAAAAGUCGACAUAGUUGCUGUUUCGCGGUGACAUUCGUCGGAAAUUGGGUCAUCUUAAACCUUUGGGUUUUAAGCGGCUUAAAAUUUUCUUGAUUCCAUGAACGUUUCUAAGCUCUUAUAUCUUUACACGUUUAAGGUAUCGAUUUAUUAGACGUGUCCGUCAUAUCGGAUCGCGUCCCUAAUCUUACUU